RNAcentral lists this ribosomal RNA (450 nucleotides) under uncultured bacterium. RNAcentral describes it as "partial 16S ribosomal RNA". It matches the Rfam family "Bacterial small subunit ribosomal RNA", at positions 338 to 795 of the family's 1533-position model. The record is from RNAcentral.
CCUACGGGUGGCUGCAGUAGGGAAUAUUGGACAAUGGGCGCAAGCCUGAUCCAGCCAUGCCGCGUGAGUGAAGAAGGCCCUCGGGUUGUAAAGCUCUUUUGUCCGGAAAGAAAAGCAUUCGGUUAAUACCCGAGUGUUCUGACGGUACCGGAAGAAUAAGCACCGGCUAACUUCGUGCCAGCAGCCGCGGUAAUACGAAGGGUGCAAGCGUUACUCGGAGUGACUGGGCGUAAAGCGUGCGUAGGUGGGUGAAAGCCCUGGGCUCAACCUGGGAAUGGCAUUGGAUACUGGAUAGCUAGAGUGCGGUAGAGGGUAGUGGAAUUCCCGGUGUAGCAGUGAAAUGCGUAGAGAUCGGGAGGAACAUCCGUGGCGAAGGCGACUACCUGGACCAGCACUGACACUGAGGCACGAAAGCGUGGGGAGCAAACAGGAUUAGAUACCCUAGUAGUC